GAAGUAUGAUGGUCAUUUUCUAAAGCUGAACCUAUUAUUCCUAGAAAGGAGGCUGAGGUAUUAGAAAACGAGAGUGCUUCCUUUAUGCUGAGAAGAAAGGAGCCUCAGAUCCUGGAGACGGAAUUAUGCUCUCUGGCAGAUAGGCCAACUUCAUUCAUAACCUAGGAAACCGCACCACUUCCCAGGACCUACCGGUAGCAACCCACUCCCUGCAUUAUGGAAUUAUGGAUGGCCAAAUUACAGUAUUCCACUUGGAGAGUGAGUACUGGGAGCAGCUUGGGGAGGCACCGGUGUUCCUGGCCGCGGGCUGCAACUCACAGCCUCUGUACGCCGCUGCCUAACUGGGACAACAAAUCCCUGGAGAUGAAGAAGAAGCAGUGUCUGGUGUGCCCAGCAUAAACUCUGUGUGGACAUCCGUUCUCCACGUUUCCCUCUCCAGCAGCCCUCGAUUUCUGUUUGGGGAUCCGCACCAUACCUGAAAGGCUAAUUCCAU
This 493-nucleotide long non-coding RNA is filed under the name Callithrix jacchus (white-tufted-ear marmoset). RNAcentral's name for it is "lncRNA (ENSCJAG00000071611.1)". Lineage: Eukaryota; Metazoa; Chordata; Mammalia; Primates; Cebidae. The record is from RNAcentral.